CCUACGGGAGGCAGCAGUGAGGAAUAUUGGUCAAUGGACGAGAGUCUGAACCAGCCAAGUAGCGUGAAGGAUGACUGUCCUAUGGGUGGUAAACUUCUUUUAUAUGGGAAUAAAAUGUUCCACGUGUGGGAUUUUGUAUGUACCAUAUGAAUAAGGAUCGGCUAACUCCGUGCCAGCAGCCGCGGUAAUACGGAGGAUCCGAGCGUUAUCCGGAUUUAUUGGGUUUAAAGGGAGCGUAGGUAGGUUGGUAAGUCAGUUGUGAAAAUUUGCGGCUCAACCGUAAGAUUGCAGUUGAAACUGGCAGUCUUGAGUACGGUAGAGGUAAGCGGAAUUCGUGGUGUAGCGGUGAAAUGCUUAGAUAUCACGAAGAACUCCGAUUGCGAAGGCAGCUCACUGGACUGCAACUGACGCUGAGGCACGAAAGUGUGGGUAUCAAACAGGAUUAGAUACCCUUGUAGUC
Molecule: ribosomal RNA, 460 nt
Filed under: uncultured bacterium
Lineage: Bacteria
Description: partial 16S ribosomal RNA
Rfam family: Bacterial small subunit ribosomal RNA
Source: RNAcentral